This is a long non-coding RNA of Zalophus californianus (California sea lion), 450 nucleotides long. RefSeq lists it as uncharacterized. The transcript has 3 exons. Lineage: Eukaryota; Metazoa; Chordata; Mammalia; Carnivora; Otariidae. The record is from RefSeq and is a predicted model, not a curated record.
UCUUGGUGGAGAAGCCCAAGGCGGGGUGGUAAGGGGGCUUUCUUCGAGAAAGAAGUGGAGGGCAGCCGUCUUCCUUCCUGGCCGUGGCGACCCGUGCCAGACACGUCCUAGCCUCGCCUUUACCCCCCGGCAAAGGGCACCUGCUCUUCGGGUCCGGACCUCGGAGGUCAGAAACCGGCAGCUGGAGGUUCCCAGAGACCCUCCACCGCGAAUCCGAAGCUCCAGCUUCAGCACCAGAGGCUGGACAGCGCCCGGACCCGAGAGAGCCCCGACUUCGCGGGCGCUAAAUUCUUCAGCCCCCACGCAGUGGAGGCCAGGAGUGACAAGUAAAAAAUCUGGAUGGAUGGAGAUGAUGACCCUCCAGUUCAGUGUAAGAGUAGAUACAUCACUUCCCAGGAAGGCUUGUGGCAGGUAGAUGAUGGUGAUCCCUGACACUGGGAUAAUCUCCAG